Long non-coding RNA from Folsomia candida, 237 nucleotides. RefSeq lists it as uncharacterized. Lineage: Eukaryota; Metazoa; Arthropoda; Collembola; Entomobryomorpha; Isotomidae. The transcript is spliced from 3 exons. The record is from RefSeq and is a predicted model, not a curated record.
AAGUAUUGGUCAUGGCGAAAUUGCCAGAACAUCCAAACAUUGUUGCCUAUCGAGAAGCCUGGUUUGAAGGCACGUUACAACAAACAUUAACUGAAUGGCUACGACGACCUGAAUCCAUGCCACCACCAACUCCUGUUCUAAAAGAUGCCCCUAAACGUCAAAUCGUUGUCACUGAAGCGGAGAAGAAUACCUUCAUGUGCAUAAAAAUGGAACUAAUGGACACCAAUCUUUACCACU